AGCUCCAAUAGCGUAUAUUAAAGUUGUUGCAGUUAAAAAGCUCGUAGUCGGAUUUCUGGCUCGGAAGGGCGGUCCGUCCGGCUCAGUCGGAUGUGAACCAGCGUCUUCCGGCCAUCCUCGCGGGUAGCUGUUCUGCCUUCACGGGUUGGAGCAUGCGGCCCGCGUCGUUUACUGUGAACAAAUUAGAGUGUUCAAAGCAGGCUUACGCCACUGAAUACAUUAGCAUGGAAUAAUACCAUAGGACUUUGGUGACUAUUGUUGGUUACGCACCAGGGUAAUGAUUAAUAGGGACGGUUGGGGGUAUUCGUAUUCAAUUGUCAGAGGUGAAAUUCUUGGAUUUCUGGAAGACGAACGACUGCGAAAGCAUUUACCAAGGAUGUUUUCAUUGAUCAAGAACGAA
This 400-nucleotide ribosomal RNA is filed under the name phytoplankton environmental sample. RNAcentral's name for it is "partial small subunit ribosomal RNA". It matches the Rfam family "Eukaryotic small subunit ribosomal RNA", at positions 587 to 987 of the family's 1831-position model. The record is from RNAcentral.